Molecule: ribosomal RNA, 497 nt
Filed under: uncultured bacterium
Lineage: Bacteria
Description: partial 16S ribosomal RNA
Rfam family: Bacterial small subunit ribosomal RNA
Source: RNAcentral
GAUGAACGCUGGCGGCGUGCCUAAUACAUGCAAGUCGAGCGAACAGAUUAGGAGCUUGCUCCUCUGACGUUAGCGGCGGACGGGUGAGUAACACGUGGAUAACCUACCUAUAAGACUGGGAUAACUUCGGGAAACCGGAGCUAAUACCGGAUAAUAUAUUGAACCGCAUGGUUCAAUAGUGAAAGACGGUUUUGCUGUCACUUAUAGAUGGAUCCGCGCCGCAUUAGCUAGUUGGUAAGGUAACGGCUUACCAAGGCAACGAUGCGUAGCCGACCUGAGAGGGUGAUCGGCCACACUGGAACUGAGACACGGUCCAGACUCCUACGGGAGGCAGCAGUAGGGAAUCUUCCGCAAUGGGCGAAAGCCUGACGGAGCAACGCCGCGUGAGUGAUGAAGGUCUUCGGAUCGUAAAACUCUGUUAUUAGGGAAGAACAAAUGUGUAAGUAACUAUGCACGUCUUGACGGUACCUAAUCAGAAAGCCACGGCUAACUACGUG